This 1205-nucleotide long non-coding RNA is filed under the name Salmo salar (Atlantic salmon). Its description in RNAcentral is "lncRNA (ENSSSAG00000111549.1)". Lineage: Eukaryota; Metazoa; Chordata; Actinopteri; Salmoniformes; Salmonidae. The record is from RNAcentral.
GGGACGGCAGGUAGCCUAGUGGUUAGAGUGGAGGGGCUGCAGGUAGCCUAGUGGUUAGAGGGGGAGGGACGGCAGGUAGCCUAGUGGUUAGAGUGGAGGGACGGCAGGUAGCCUAGUGGUUAGAGUGGAGGGGCGGCAGGUAGCCUAGUGGUUAGAGUGGAGGGGACGGCAGGUAGCCUAGUGGUUAGAGUGGAGGGGCGGCAGGUAGCCUAGUGGUUAGAGUGGAGGGGCGGCAGGUAGCCUAGUGGUUAGAGGGGGGAGGCAGGUAGCCUAGUGGUUAGAGGGGGGAGGGGCAGGUAGUCUAGCGGUUAGAGUGGAGGGACGGCAGGUAGUCUAGCGGUUAGAGUGGAGGGACGGCAGGUAGCCUAGUGGUUAGAGUGGAGGGACGGCAGGUAGCCUAGUGGUUAGAGUGGAGGGGACGGCAGGUAGUCUAGUGGUUAGAGUGGAGGGGACGGCAGGUAGUCUAGUGGUUAGAGUGGAGGGGACGGCAGGUAGCCUAGUGGUUAGAGAGCGUUGGACUAGUAACGGAAAGGUUGCUAGAUCAAAUCGCCGAGCUGACAAGGUACAAAUCUGUCGUUCUGCCCCCUGAACGAGGCAGUUAACCCACUGUUCCCUAGUAGGCUGUCAUUGAAAAUAAAAAUUUGUUCUUAACUGACUUGCCUGGUUAAAUAAAGGUACAAAAAAAAUACAAAAUUGUCCCACCCCCAAGUCAUCUGAUAUGACUGUAAAGCUGAUCUUAUUGGCCAACACGACUGUCCAUCUUUCAUUUGACCCCGCCCCCCCAGUCUAAUGCUAUAUACCACAGGUCGUAGAGGUUUAAAAACUAAAUAUUCUUUGGUGCGUUAAUGUAAUCACUGGAGUUUUACGUUUUGAUGUUGUAAUUCAAGCUGUACGUUAUCGUGGAGAAUAUUGCCAAUAGGCUACAUGUGUUUUGGUAACAAUCUAAUGGUUCAUUUUUAGCUCAAACACAGACCACCGGGAAGCUUUUAACCUUGUAAGAUGUCUAGUGAAAACCAAGUGGACAGUGACCUCGUUGACUCUCUGGGCUGUGGUCGGUCACUGGGCCGACCGACCUAGUGACAUAUCAGCUAUGGAGUCUGGACAAUGACCUUGUUGACUCUCUGGGCUAGUGGUCGGUCACAGGGCCGACCGAUCUAGUGACAUAUCAGCUAUGGAGUCUGGACAAUGACCUUGUUGACUCUCUG